CUAAUUACAAGCUAUUGUCUUCCAUGGAAUAGGCAGUGAUGGCAUUUGUUUUAUUUUCCUGAGGUGGAGAAAAACAAAUAGACCAUAACACUGUUAUUCCAUGGAAGAUAAUGACUCGUGGUUGA
Non-coding RNA from Populus trichocarpa (black cottonwood), 125 nucleotides. The record is from Rfam. NCBI's taxonomy places the organism in Eukaryota, Viridiplantae, Streptophyta, Magnoliopsida, Malpighiales, Salicaceae.